GACGAACGCUGGCGGCGUGCUUAACACAUGCAAGUCGAACGAUGAAGCCGGAGCUUGCUCCGGUGGAUUAGUGGCGAACGGGUGAGUAACACGUGAGCAAUCUGCCCUUGACUCUGGAAUAACUGCGGGAAACUGUAGCUAAUACCGGAUACGACCCUCGGAGGCAUCUCCUGGGGGUGGAAAGAAUUUCGGUCAAGGAUGGACUCGCGGCCUAUCAGCGAGUUGGUGAGGUAAAGGCUCACCAAGGCGACGACGGGUAGCCGGCCUGAGAGGGUGACCGGCCACACUGGGACUGAGACACGGCCCAGACUCCUACGGGAGGCAGCAGUGGGGAAUAUUGCACAAUGGGCGCAAGCCUGAUGCAGCAACGCCGCGUGAGGGAUGACGGCCUUCGGGUUGUAAACCUCUUUUAGCAGGGAAGAAGCGAAAGUGACGGUACCUGCAGAAAAAGCACCGGCUAACUACGUGCCAGCAGCCGCGGUAA
This 484-nucleotide ribosomal RNA is filed under the name uncultured bacterium. RNAcentral's name for it is "partial 16S ribosomal RNA". It matches the Rfam family "Bacterial small subunit ribosomal RNA", at positions 28 to 523 of the family's 1533-position model. The record is from RNAcentral.